CCUACGGGUGGCACCAGUGGGGAAUAUAGCACAAUGGGCGCAAGCCUGAUGCAGCCAUGCCGCGUGUAUGAAGAAGGCCUUCGGGUUGUAAAGUACUUUCAGCGGGGAGGAAGGUGUUGUGGUUAAUAAUCACAGCAAUUGACGUUACCCGCAGAAGAUGCACCGGCUAACUCCGAGCCAGCAGCCGCGGUAAUACGGAGGGUGCAAGCGUUAAUCGGAAUUACUGGGCGUGAAGCGCACGCAGGCGGUCUGUCAAGUCGGAUGUGAAAUCCCCGGGCUCAACCUGGGAACUGCAUUCGAAACUGGCAGGCUAGAGUCUUGUAGAGGGGGGUAGAAUUCCAGGUGUAGCGGUGAAAUGCGUAGAGAUCUGAAGGAAUACCAGUGGCGAAGGCGGCCCCCUGGACAAAGACUGACGCUCAGAUGCGAAAGCGUGGGGAGCAAACAGGAUUAGAUACCCCAGUAGUC
Molecule: ribosomal RNA, 465 nt
Filed under: uncultured bacterium
Lineage: Bacteria
Description: bacterial SSU rRNA
Rfam family: Bacterial small subunit ribosomal RNA
Source: RNAcentral